GAGGGGGCAAGCGUUGUUCGGAAUUACUGGGCGUAAAGGGCGCGUAGGCGGCCUUCUAAGUCGAACGUGGAAUCCCCGGGCUCAACCCGGGAACUGCGUCCGAUACUGGAAGGCUUGAAUCCGGGAGAGGGAUGUGGAAUUCCAGGUGUAGCGGUGAAAUUGCGUAGAUAUCUGGAGGAACACCGGUGGCGAAGGCGACAUCCUGGACCCGUAUUGACGCUGAGGCGCGAAAGCCAGGGGAGCAAACGGGGAUUAGAUACCCCGGUAGUCCUGGCCCUAAACGAUGAAUGCUUGGUGUGGCGGGUAUCGAUCCCUGCCGUGCCGAAGCUAACGCAUUAAGCAUUCCGCCUGGGGAGUACGGUCGCAAGGCUG
This 372-nucleotide ribosomal RNA is filed under the name uncultured organism. RNAcentral describes it as "bacterial SSU rRNA". It matches the Rfam family "Bacterial small subunit ribosomal RNA", at positions 528 to 896 of the family's 1533-position model. The record is from RNAcentral.